UACAGAGGUCCCGAGCGUUGUUCGGAUUCAUUGGGCGUAAAGGGUGCGUAGGCGGCUUCCUAAGUUUGAUGUGAAAUCCUGGGGCUCAACCCUGGAACUGCAUUGAAUACUGGGAGGCUAGAGUACUGGAGAGGAAACUGGAAUUUACGGUGUAGCAGUGAAAAUGCGUAGAGAUCGUAAGGAAGACCAGUGGCGAAGGCGAGUUUCUGGACAGUUACUGACGUGAGGCACGAAGGCCAGGGGAGCAAACGGG
Molecule: ribosomal RNA, 253 nt
Filed under: uncultured bacterium
Lineage: Bacteria
Description: partial 16S ribosomal RNA
Rfam family: Bacterial small subunit ribosomal RNA
Source: RNAcentral